RNAcentral lists this ribosomal RNA (590 nucleotides) under uncultured Burkholderia sp. Its description in RNAcentral is "bacterial SSU rRNA". It matches the Rfam family "Bacterial small subunit ribosomal RNA", at positions 418 to 1003 of the family's 1533-position model. The record is from RNAcentral. Lineage: Bacteria; Pseudomonadati; Pseudomonadota; Betaproteobacteria; Burkholderiales; Burkholderiaceae.
UCGGGUUGUAAAGCACUUUUGUCCGGAAAGAAAACUUCGGGGCUAAUACCUCUGGAGGAUGACGGUACCGGAAGAAUAAGCACCGGCUAACUACGUGCCAGCAGCGCGGUAAUCGUAGGGUGCGAGCGUUAAUCGGAAUUACUGGGCGUAAAGCGUGCGCAGGCGGUCUGUUAAGACAGAUGUGAAAUCCCCGGGCUUAACCUGGGAACUGCAUUUGUGACUGGCAGGCUAGAGUAUGGCAGAGGGGGGUAGAAUUCCACGUGUAGCAGUGAAAUGCGUAGAGAUGUGGAGGAAUACCGAUGGCGAAGGCAGCCCCCUGGGCCAAUACUGACGCUCAUGCACGAAAGCGUGGGGAGCAAACAGGAUUAGAUACCCUGGUAGUCCACGCCCUAAACGAUGUCAACUAGUUGUUGGGGAUUCAUUUCCUUAGUAACGUAGCUAACGCGUGAAGUUGACCGCCUGGGGAGUACGGUCGCAAGAUUAAAACUCAAAGGAAUUGACGGGGACCCGCACAAGCGGUGGAUGAUGUGGAUUAAUUCGAUGCAACGCGAAAAACCUUACCUACCCUUGACAUGGUCGGAACCCUGGUG